CGGCGAGUGAAGCGGCAACAGCUCAAAUUUGAAAUCUGGCCCCCAGGGCCCGAGUUGUAAUUUGCAGAGGAUGCUUUUGGCGCGGCGCCUUCCGAGUUCCCUGGAACGGGACGCCAUAGAGGGUGAGAGCCCCGUCUGGUCGGACGCCUAGCCUGUGUAAAGCUCCUUCGACGAGUCGAGUAGUUUGGGAAUGCUGCUCUAAAUGGGAGGUAUAUGUCUUCUAAAGCUAAAUACCGGCCAGAGACCGAUAGCGCACAAGUAGAGUGAUCGAAAGAUGAAAAGCACUUUGAAAAGAGGGUUAAACAGUACGUGAAAUUGUUGAAAGGGAAGCGCUUGUGACCAGACUUGGGCCCGGUGGAUCAUCCAGCGUUCUCGCUGGUGCACUCCGCCGGGUCCAGGCCAGCAUCAGUUCGCCGCGGGGGAGAAAGGCUUCGGGAACGUGGCUCCCACGGGAGUGUUAUAGCCCGUCGCACAAUACCCUGGGGCGGACUGAGGUUCGCGCUCCGCAAGGAUGCUGGCGUAAUGGUCAUCAGCGACCCGUCUUGAAACACGGACCAAGGAGUCGUCUUCGUAUGCGAGUGUUCGGGUGUAAAACCCCUACGCGUAAUGAAAGUGAACGCAGGUGAGAGCUUCGGCGCAUCAUCGACCGAUCCUGAUGUUCUCGGAUGGAUUUGAGUAAGAGCAUACGGGGCCGGACCCGAAAGAAGGUGAACUAUGCCUGUAUAGGGUGAAGCCAGAGGAAACUCUGGUGGAGGCUCGCAGCGGUUCUGACGUGCAAAUCGAUCGUCAAAUAUGGGCAUGGGGGCGAAAGACUAAUCGAACCUUCUAGUAGCUGGUUUCCGCCGAAGUUUCCCUCAGGAUAGCAGUGUUGAACUCAGUUUUAUGAGGUAAAGCGAAUGAUUAGGGACCCGGGGGCGCUUUUCAGCCUUCAUCCAUUCUCAAACUUUAAAUAUGUAAGAAGCCCUUGUUGCUUAAUUGAACGUGGGCAUUCGAAUGUAUCAACACUAGUGGGCCAUUUUUGGUAAGCAGAACUGGCGAUGCGGGAUGAACCGAACGCGAGGUUAAGGUGCCAGAGUAGACGCUCAUCAGACACCACAAAAGGCGUUAGUACAUCUUGACAGCAGGACGGUGGCCAUGGAAGUCGGAAUCCGCUAAGGACUGUGUAACAACUCACCUGCCGAAUGUACUAGCCCUGAAAAUGGAUGGCGCUCAAGCGUCUCACCCAUACCUCGCCCUCAGGGUAGAAACGAUGCCCUGAGGAGUAGGCGGACGUGGGGGUCG
This 1281-nucleotide ribosomal RNA is filed under the name Purpureocillium takamizusanense. RNAcentral's name for it is "partial large subunit ribosomal RNA". It matches the Rfam family "Eukaryotic large subunit ribosomal RNA", at positions 87 to 1400 of the family's 3401-position model. The record is from RNAcentral. Lineage: Eukaryota; Fungi; Ascomycota; Sordariomycetes; Hypocreales; Ophiocordycipitaceae.